This 268-nucleotide ribosomal RNA is filed under the name uncultured bacterium. RNAcentral describes it as "partial 16S ribosomal RNA". It matches the Rfam family "Bacterial small subunit ribosomal RNA", at positions 86 to 353 of the family's 1533-position model. The record is from RNAcentral.
AGAUGGCGACCGGCGCACGGGUGAGUAACACGUAUCCAACCUGCCGAUGACUCGGGGAUAGCCUUUCGAAAGAAAGAUUAAUACCCGAUGGCAUAAUGAUUCCGCAUGGUUUCAUUAUUAAAGGAUUCCGGUAAAGGAUGGGGAUGCGUUCCAUUAGGUUGUUGGUGAGGUAACGGCUCACCAAGCCUUCGAUGGAUAGGGGUUCUGAGAGGAAGGUCCCCCACAUUGGAACUGAGACACGGUCCAAACUCCUACGGGAGGCAGCAUG